This 253-nucleotide ribosomal RNA is filed under the name uncultured bacterium. RNAcentral's name for it is "partial 16S ribosomal RNA". It matches the Rfam family "Bacterial small subunit ribosomal RNA", at positions 524 to 776 of the family's 1533-position model. The record is from RNAcentral.
UACGUAGGGUGCAAGCGUUGUCCGGAAUUAUUGGGCGUAAAGAGCUCGUAGGCGGUCUGUCGCGUCGGAUGUGAAAACCCAGGGCUCAACCCUGGGCCUGCAUUCGAUACGGGCAGACUAGAGUUCGGUAGGGGAGACUGGAAUUCCUGGUGUAGCGGUGAAAUGCGCAGAUAUCAGGAGGAACACCGGUGGCGAAGGCGGGUCUCUGGGCCUGUACUGACGCUGAGGAACGAAAGCGUGGGGAGCGAACAGG